Long non-coding RNA from Scatophagus argus, 1112 nucleotides. RefSeq lists it as uncharacterized. The record is from RefSeq and is a predicted model, not a curated record. The transcript is spliced from 3 exons. NCBI's taxonomy places the organism in Eukaryota, Metazoa, Chordata, Actinopteri, Scatophagidae.
AAAUGUAUUUCUUGAAUAUUCAGUCAUCAGUUUCAUUGGUGUAAUUUCCACAACAUUUUUUGUUGAAGGGUGAAGAGGAAUAUCCUACAUCAGAAAAGUCACUUAAACAUCUCACAGUGAUUUCAGCUUGCUGAGGCCACCACUACCGACACUGGUAGGCUUUUACUGAAAGACCACACAUCUGACUUUUAACAAGCAUUAGUGGCAGAAUCAUCAGCCAAUCAAAUGUUUGAUGACAGGACGCCCUCUGGGCCCUGCAACGUGACCUGUGCUACUUGCUAACUUUCCUCAUGAACUUCCUCGGUGUGAGGGUGAACUUGAGUGAAAAGAAAAUGGCAGCUGCGCUCAUCGCUACAGCAGAUCUUGUUGCCGAUCUACUGAAAAUGAUUUUUAACGCGCCCCUUUGGAGACAACGGAGAAAUAACUGAGAAGGGAAGACCUACACCCAAACUGGAUUCAUUAACAAAGGCCUGUAAAAGUUUUGUGCGCCAUUUUAAAGAUUGCAACUCGGAGCGCUGUGAGUGGCUAACCGCUAGCACCGAGCACAACAAGCUACAGCCUCCGUGGAACCCUCGUUUUCGCUUCUCAAGCGGAUAAAAACCCACGCAAGGAACACGACGUCCACAAUCAAGGCUGUCUCCUUUGGCGUCUCUCUCUUGAGACAGAAUACAACGCAUGGAACUCAUGUACAAGUGCAGGUCCAGGUGCCUGGCAGCUGGCUCAGGAAGGUAGCCCAGACGUCCUUCUCCCCAGACGUUCCCGGGCCAACCCACAUGGGACAUGUAAUGCCUGAUCCAGGUCUGCGCCCACCUGGCCCCGCUCAGGAACCCUAUAAGAGGAGGCAUUCUUAUCAUAUGCCCAAACAAGCUCAACUGGUUCCUUUCAACGUAAAAAGGCCAUACUUUGAGCUUCCAUCUGAGAUCUGAGAUUUCUAAAGGGGGGUCAAACUCUUGGGUACCACUACAGGUAAGAGUGAAAUGUUUCAGUUGGGUUAACCAGCCCUUUAAGAUGAUGAAGAUUUCAAAUGACUGAGUAGUUAAUUUGAGAAAACCUGGUUAACUAAUGCUUAAUAAAAAUAAAAAUACCCUGAUGAUGUCACACCUAGAAAGUUU